Molecule: ribosomal RNA, 343 nt
Filed under: uncultured bacterium
Lineage: Bacteria
Description: bacterial SSU rRNA
Rfam family: Bacterial small subunit ribosomal RNA
Source: RNAcentral
GAAGGUGCAAGCGUAAUCGGAAUACUGGGCGUAAAGCGCACGCAGGCGGUUUGUUAAGUCAGAUGUGAAAUCCCCGGGCUCAACCUGGGAACUGCAUCUGAUACUGGCAAGCUUGAGUCUCGUAGAGGGGGGUAGAAUUCCAGGUGUAGCGGUGAAAUGCGUAGAGAUCUGGAGGAAUACCGGUGGCGAAGGCGGCCCCCUGGACGAAGACUGACGCUCAGGUGCGAAAGCGUGGGGAGCAAACAGGAUUAGAUACCCUGGUAGUCCACGCCGUAAACGAUGUCGACUUGGAGGUUGUGCCCUUGAGGCGUGGCUUCCGGMKAACGCGUUAAGUCGACCGCCU